UUUCCGUAGGUGAACCUGCGGAAGGAUCAUUACCAAGUGAGGGUCUCUCAGGCCCGACCUCCCACCCUGUGUUUUUGUGACCUUGUUGCUUUGGCGGGCCCGCCUCGAUGAGAUGCCGCCUGAAGCUCACCGACUUGGGCCGUUUCCCGUCAGUAACCCCCUUAAAUUCUUAAUAAACCUCUCAUCAGAUAUAAUUGAUAUAAAGAAAAAAAAAUUUCAACAACCGAUAUCUUGGUUCUUGCAUCUAUGAAGAACGCAGAAGGUCGGAAAAGCACACGG
This 279-nucleotide unclassified non-coding RNA is filed under the name plant metagenome. Its description in RNAcentral is "partial contains small subunit ribosomal RNA, internal transcribed spacer 1, and 5.8S ribosomal RNA". The record is from RNAcentral.